GACGAACGCUGGCGGCGUGCCUAAUACAUGCAAGUCGAACGGUCUUUCUAUGGAAGCUUGCUUCCACUGAAAAGAUAGUGGCGAACGGGUGAGUAACACGUGGGUAACCUGCCCAUAAGAGGGGGGAUAACAUCCGGAAACGGGUGCUAAUACCGCAUAGUUUUCUUGAUCGCAUGAUCGGGAAAGGAAAGACGGCCUUUGUGCUGUCGCUUAUGGAUGGACCCGCGGCGUAUUAGUUAGUUGGUGAGGUAACGGCUCACCAAGACGAUGAUACGUAGCCGACCUGAGAGGGUGAUCGGCCACAUUGGGACUGAGACACGGCCCAAACUCCUACGGGAGGCAGCAGUAGGGAAUCUUCCGCAAUGGACGAAAGUCUGACGGAGCAACGCCGCGUGAGUGAAAGAAGGUUUUCGGAUCGUAAACUCUGUUGUCAGAGAAGAACAAGUUGGAGAGUAACUGCUCCAGCCUUGACGGUAUCUGACCAGAAAGCCACGGCUAACUACGUGCCAGCCGCCGC
Molecule: ribosomal RNA, 517 nt
Filed under: uncultured bacterium
Lineage: Bacteria
Description: bacterial SSU rRNA
Rfam family: Bacterial small subunit ribosomal RNA
Source: RNAcentral